This 575-nucleotide ribosomal RNA is filed under the name uncultured bacterium. Its description in RNAcentral is "partial 16S ribosomal RNA". It matches the Rfam family "Bacterial small subunit ribosomal RNA", at positions 355 to 918 of the family's 1533-position model. The record is from RNAcentral.
UGGGGAAUCUUCCGCAAUGGACGAAAGUCUGACGGAGCAACGCCGCGUGUAUGAUGAAGGUCUUCGGAUUGUAAAGUACUGUCAUUGGGGAAGAACGGUUUUCUUGAAAAGAUUGAGAAGACAUGACGGUACCCAAGGAGGAAGCCCCGGCUAACUACGUGCCAGCAGCCGCGGUAAUACGUAGGGGGCAAGCGUUGUCCGGAAUUAUUGGGCGUAAAGGGCGCGUAGGCGGGCCUUUAAGUCCGGUGUGAAAGAUCAGGGCUCAACCCUGAGAGUGCAUCGGAAACUGGAGGCCUUGAGGACAGGAGAGGAAAGUGGAAUUCCACGUGUAGCGGUGAAAUGCGUAGAUAUGUGGAGGAACACCAGUGGCGAAGGCGACUUUCUGGACUGUAACUGACGCUGAGGCGCGAAAAGCGUGGGGAGCAAACAGGAUUAGAUACCCUGGUAGUCCACGCCGUAAACGAUGAGUGCUAGGUGUAGAGGGUAUCGACCCCGUUCUGUGCCGCAGUUAACACAAUAAGCACUCCGCCUGGGGAGUACGGCCGCAAGGUUGAAACUCAAAUGAAUUGACGGGG